This 253-nucleotide ribosomal RNA is filed under the name uncultured bacterium. RNAcentral's name for it is "partial 16S ribosomal RNA". It matches the Rfam family "Bacterial small subunit ribosomal RNA", at positions 524 to 776 of the family's 1533-position model. The record is from RNAcentral.
UACGGACUGUGCAAACGUUAUUCGGAAUCACUGGGCUUAAAGAGUCCGUAGGCGGCUUGUUAGGUGAGGUGUGAAAUCCCCCGGCUCAACCGAGGAAUUGCGCUUCAAACCGGCAAGCUUGAGGAGGAUAGAGGUGGGCGGAACUGAUGGUGGAGCGGUGAAAUGCGUUGAUAUCAUCAGGAACACCGGAGGCGAAAGCGGUCCACUGGGUCCUUUCUGACGCUGAGGGACGAAAGCUAGGGGAGCGAACGGG